This 250-nucleotide unclassified non-coding RNA is filed under the name plant metagenome. Its description in RNAcentral is "partial contains small subunit ribosomal RNA, internal transcribed spacer 1, and 5.8S ribosomal RNA". The stretch from base 166 to 250 matches the Rfam family "5.8S ribosomal RNA", at positions 1 to 71 of the family's 154-position model. The record is from RNAcentral.
GUAGGUGAACCUGCGGAAGGAUCAUUACCGUGGGGGUGAUUCCCCAUCGAGAUAGCACCCUUUGUCUAUGAGUACCUCUUGUUUCCCCGGCGGGUGAUUCCGCCAACGGGGACCCCAUAAACCCUUUGCAGUUGCAGUCAACCUCUGAUAACAACCAACUAUUAAAACUUUCAACAACGGAUCUCUUGGCUCUGGCAUCGAUGAAGAACGCAGCAUCUGACUGACUGGAGAAUGUGAUAUCUCGUAUGCC